UGUCCAAUUGCUCGAUCAUUUUGAUAUUUAGUCUCUCAAGAGUUCUUUUCAUAGUUUAUUAUUCUUCAAGUUCCACUUUCAUCUUACUCAGUCGUGUCCAAAUGACUUUUCUAUAAAUUAUUCUAAAACAAGGUGUGUUGCUGCUAUGCUCCGAUGUAUACCUACGUGGUUUUUGCUUCUUAUUUUUCGAGCGUGUGUGUAUGAUGAUGUUGGUUUGUUGACAUGGCGCGUGGUCCGGUUGCGGCUCAUGCUCAAGCCAUGGUGUUGGGUUGGUAGGUGGUCGUGGGCGUGGCCGCAGGCGGUCUGCUGGUCGUCAUGGACGAGCCACUGGCUGUGGAGGUUCUAAUAUAGGGCGUGCUCCUGUUUCUGAUCAUGUCGCUGCUUGCCGGGUGCCUGCCGCUGGAGAUGAGCCUCGUGACAGGCGUAGGGGUGUGAGUUGGUGCGUGCCUGCUGCUGGAGCUGAGCCUAUCGCCAGGCGCAGGCGUGGCGCUCGGCAGGUGCCUGCUGCUGGGCAUGGCGCCAUACCUCGCUCAAGUGGUAGGGGUGUUCGUGGCCGUGUCCCUGGUCGUGGUGCUGAUCCUGGGCAUGCAGCCGCUGCUAUACAUGUGCAUGUCCUUGGUCGUCCUGCUGAUCCUGGGCACGACGCCGCUUCUGUGCAUAGAAAAUUCAUUUCUGCUGUCAACCAUCUUGGAAUUGACAGUUGACCACACUAUUGUGAUAUUCUUGGCCAGGGUCACUUUAUAUCAUGUUGGACCAUCUUGAAAUUCGUAGAGACUUUUAUCGUCGAAGGAUGUACUCACAGAACAAAAUGAAUGGACUGUGCUUUUCUACACUUUUGUCCAUAGCAGUGGGAUAUGUUUUCUGCAGUGCACGGCUACACUCUAAUGUCGCGAUGGCUGGCGAAGAGAUCUAGGUUCAUGGCUCGCUAGGUUCAGCCGUUCCACUAACAGCUGUCUCCGAGCACUUGCACAGGUUGAGUUGAGCAUAUGUAUACCUACCUUAGUCGGCGAAAAUAAUUAUGUGUGGUUUCAUGGACUCUUACCUUAUUGAUGGGCACCAUGCAGAGCUUGAGGAGAUGUAGGCCAGCGUGCCACCUCUUUCGCUUUUCAAGUGAUCGCUGAGCCGCCUUCUUUACUUCAGUGGCUUCUUGUGUCACCAUAGAUCCGUGUGUCACAACAUGCAAGCAAAUCAAAUGAAGGACUGUGGACAAAGUUAUAUAUCAAGCAAAUUGAAUGAAGGCGUGUGGACAAAGUUAUAUAUCCAAUAGUCAACCAUGUAGUUUACUAUCGCGCAGUAUGAAAAACAGUGUAAAUAAGUUACCUGAGACUAAUACUAUGGCCUGCUUUUGGUUUCUAUCAUACUAAACCUUGCUUAGGUAUUUCAUGUCACAUUGUAUAACAAAUGCGCCGAUGGCAUGUAGAUAGGGCCAUCUUUUAGAUAUUUUAUGGGGUGAUUACUGCUGUGAGUAUCUACCAUCACCUUCUCUUUGAGUUAUAUCAUAUAUAUUUCCAUCCUGGGGUAUAUUGAGUAAUAUCAGAUGUUAAUUGAAAAAGAGCUAUAUCAGGGGUUUGAUCAUUGAGUUUUUUUUGAUUAAUUCCUUGAUACAUUUUCAUGUUGAUAUAGUCUCUCCAUUUCCAUCCUUAAUAGACACACGCAUGUGGGAGUAGGGUUUCGGCAAGUAGCACCUCUUUGAUUAAGUUGUCCCGUUACAUGUGCUAAACUUGCUAUCCUACUAAUGCAUCAUGUGGCUUGUCUUCACUGCUUGGUCAUAUCGGUUGGACUGGCACCCUCGCGCCAAGGCGCGUUGCCGAUCUAGUGUAUCAGAUACUCUGAGAAAAUCCAUGCGAGGAGAACACACUCUACGCUUCUCCUCUUGCCAAGUGCAACCGUGGAGGGAGGAUGUACGGCAAGCAGUAGAGUUUCAGCCACCCCAAAACACGGAAGAAAAGGAAUCGACACACUGAACUUUCCCGCAAAGCAAACACGGGAUGCGGUGUGAUUUGGAAAUCCUUUACGACAAGAUUGCCUAGCUUUAAAAGCAAUAGGCAUUGAUCUCCACUAUGUGCUGGGCUACAACAAGCAUAUUGUGCCCAGGACAGAGGAAAACUGCUGCUUUUGGCAGAGUGAGAUUGUCCACCAAGAAAGUGAUUGGCCUGUUGGUAACCUGAGAUGCAGUUGCAGCAGCAACUUGAAGCUCCAUGGCCUCUGCUUGCAAUGGUGAUGAACUGAUGAUGCAGCACUACCAGCUGCAGAGAUCUGGAGUGGAGUUGCUUGUAUUCUUUUCCCCAAGUCAAGUGGCAUCCCAGUAUACCCUGCAUCCUGUAAUUAAAAAAAAUCUGAUUUGAUUGUAGAACCUUGCUUUGAAAUACUUUCAGAUUCUUGAUUUAGCUGAAAGCCUUGCCUAAUGGACGGACCUGUUUCA
Triticum dicoccoides is the source of this 2422-nucleotide long non-coding RNA. RefSeq lists it as uncharacterized. The transcript has 7 exons. The record is from RefSeq and is a predicted model, not a curated record. Lineage: Eukaryota; Viridiplantae; Streptophyta; Magnoliopsida; Poales; Poaceae.